This 22-nucleotide small nuclear RNA is filed under the name Arabidopsis thaliana (thale cress). RNAcentral describes it as "snRNA_01699". Lineage: Eukaryota; Viridiplantae; Streptophyta; Magnoliopsida; Brassicales; Brassicaceae. The record is from RNAcentral.
UUGAAUCAUCACUCACUCUCUC